UGAGGAAUCUUGCGCAAUGGGGGAAACCCUGACGCAGCAACGCCGCGUGAGUGAGGAGGGUCUUCGGGUCGUAAAGCUCUGUCAGGCGGGAAGAAAUGCAUGGAGGUGAACAGCCGCCAUGCUUGACGGUACCGCCAGAGGAAGCACCGGCUAACUCCGUGCCAGCAGCCGCGGUAAUACGGGGGGUGCAAGCGUUGUUCGGAAUCAUUGGGCGUAAAGAGCGUGUAGGCGGCUUGGUAAGUCAGAUGUGAAAGCCCUGGGCUCAAC
RNAcentral lists this ribosomal RNA (267 nucleotides) under uncultured bacterium. Its description in RNAcentral is "partial 16S ribosomal RNA". It matches the Rfam family "Bacterial small subunit ribosomal RNA", at positions 355 to 613 of the family's 1533-position model. The record is from RNAcentral.